AGCGAACGCUGGCGGCGUGCUUAACACAUGCAAGUCGAGCGAGAAAGGGGGCUUCGGCCCCUGAGUACAGCGGCGAACGGGUGCGUAAUACAUGAGCAAUCUACCCUUGAGGCGGGAAUAACCCAGCGAAAGUUGGGCUAAUACCGGAUAAGACCACAAGAGGAGACCCUAGAGGCUAAAGGCAGCUCUCUUUUGGGGGCGGCCCUUUGAGGAGGAGCUCAUGUCCUAUCAGCUAGUUGGUAGGGUAACGGCCUACCAAGGCGAAGACGGGUAGCUGGUCUUAGAGGAUGAUCAGCCACACGGGGACUGAGACACGGCCCCGACUCCUACGGGAGGCAGCAGUGGGGAAUAUUGGGCAAUGGGGGAAACCC
RNAcentral lists this ribosomal RNA (371 nucleotides) under uncultured bacterium. Its description in RNAcentral is "bacterial SSU rRNA". It matches the Rfam family "Bacterial small subunit ribosomal RNA", at positions 29 to 383 of the family's 1533-position model. The record is from RNAcentral.